Molecule: long non-coding RNA, 441 nt
Filed under: Hordeum vulgare
Lineage: Eukaryota; Viridiplantae; Streptophyta; Magnoliopsida; Poales; Poaceae
Description: long non-coding RNA (HVUL_LNC009167)
Source: RNAcentral
GCCAAUCCAUAACCAGAUCGCUUACUAAUCGCUUAACUCUUUGUUCAUAACAUUAUACGUGUAUCACUGGGAUCGAUCCGUUGUCAAAGAAUUUCCUAUGCCAAAGAGGGAUUCGAGAUUUCACCGCAGACUGGACCUACCUCCUGGGCCGGGCACUUAAAUUUUCCUUAUUCGAUUCAUAGGUCAAUCCAGUGGUUCCUCCCGCCUGGCAGGUCUAAGAAUACAACCCCUACGACACAGUUGAAACCAAUUGUCUCUCACUUCAAAGAUGGACCCUCUGUUCCUUUGAAAUGCCUUUGAUACAUCAAUUCUGCACGGUAACUCAGUAAAAGCCACCGUUUCCAGUGCUUUUUUGAGCAAGGAAAUAUUGGUUUUAUUCGGAAAAGUUGCUUGGUGCAAAGCUAGGGGAAACAUAAAGUUUCCGCUCACCCUAAGAUGAUC